GGCUCAGGACGAACGCUGGCGGCGUGCCUAACACAUGCAAGUCGAGCGAGGAGAUUCCUUCGGGAUGAUCCUAGCGGCGGACGGGUGAGUAACACGUGGGCAACCUGCCUCAUAGAGAGGAAUAGCCUUCCGAAAGGGAGAUUAAUACCUCAUAACAUUGCAGUUUCGCAUGGAACAGCAAUUAAAGGAGUAAUCCGCUAUGAGAUGGGCCCGCGGCGCAUUAGCUAGUUGGUGAGGUAACGGCUCACCAAGGCGACGAUGCGUAGCCGACCUGAGAGGGUGAUCGGCCACAUUGGGACUGAGACACGGCCCAGACUCCUACGGGAGGCAGCAGUGGGGAAUAUUGCACAAUGGGGGAAACCCUGAUGCAGCAACGCCGCGUGAGUGAUGACGGCCUUCGGGUUGUAAAGCUCUGUCUUCAGGGACGAUAAUGACGGUACCUGAGGAGGAAGCCACGGCUAACUACGUGCCAGCCGCCGC
RNAcentral lists this ribosomal RNA (480 nucleotides) under uncultured bacterium. RNAcentral describes it as "bacterial SSU rRNA". It matches the Rfam family "Bacterial small subunit ribosomal RNA", at positions 21 to 518 of the family's 1533-position model. The record is from RNAcentral.